RNAcentral lists this ribosomal RNA (484 nucleotides) under uncultured bacterium. Its description in RNAcentral is "bacterial SSU rRNA". It matches the Rfam family "Bacterial small subunit ribosomal RNA", at positions 359 to 833 of the family's 1533-position model. The record is from RNAcentral.
GAGAUUUUCGCAAUGCCCGAAAGGGUGACGAAGCGACGCCGCGUGCGGGAAGAAGGCCUUCGGGUUGUAAACCGCUGUCGGGAGUUAAGAAAUGUAAGGAUGUUAAUAGCAUCUUUGCUUGACUAAGGCUCCGGAGGAAGCCACGGCUAACUCCGUGCCAGCAGCCGCGGUAAUACAGAGGCGGCAAGCGUUGUUCGGAAUUAUUGGGCGUAAAGAGCACGUAGGCGGCUAUGUAAGUCGGUUGUGAAAGCCUUCCGCUCAACGGGAGAACAGCAUCCGAUACUGCAUGGCUUGAGUGCGGGAGGGGAGAGUGGAACUUCUGGUGGAGCGGUGAAAUGCGUAGAUAUCAGAAGGAACGCCGGCGGCGAAAGCGGCUCUCUGGGCCAUAACUGACGCUGAGUGUGCGAAAGCUAGGGGAGCAAACGGGAUUAGAUACCCCGGUAGUCCUAGCCGUAAACGAUGGGCACUAAGUAGAGGGGUUUUA